Carassius auratus (goldfish) is the source of this 1005-nucleotide long non-coding RNA. RefSeq lists it as uncharacterized. The record is from RefSeq and is a predicted model, not a curated record. The transcript is spliced from 4 exons. NCBI's taxonomy places the organism in Eukaryota, Metazoa, Chordata, Actinopteri, Cypriniformes, Cyprinidae.
AUUUACUACAGGAUAAACGCUAUAAAUUGAAGACACUGAGGUUUUUUAGUCCUGCUGCAGAUGAAGCCUGUCAGUGUGUGCCUGGAAUUGUGGGUAAAAACCCGUUACUCCUGAGAGAACUGAAUCUGAGUGAACAGAAGCUAGGAGACACACGAGUGAAUCAGAUCUCUGCUCUACUGCAGGAUAAACACUGUAAACUCAACACACUGAUUCUGUGUGGAUGCAGUAUUACAGAGAAACAGUGUCUCAUCCUGACUUCAGCUCUGAAAUCAAACAUUUCACACCUGAGAGAACUGGACCUGAGUGAAAAUAAAAUAGAAAACACAGGAGUGAAGCAUGUCUCUGAAACACUGAAGAAUUCAGACUGUAAACUGGAGAGAUUGAGGUUAAUAAGCUGUAAUAUAACAGAAGAAGGUUGUUCUGCUCUGAGUUCAGCUCUGAAAUCAAACCCUUCACACCUGAGAGAACUGGACCUCAGUGGAAAUGAACUAGGAGACUCUGGAGUUGGAAACCUUGGUGUUCUGUUGAGCAGUUCUCAAUGCAAGCUGGAAAAACUACAGUUAGUAUCAUUAUUACUCUGUGCAGCAAUUACAGUGUGAUUUAAAUGUACUAUUUAUCAAGACAACAGGGCACAAGCUACUAAAUGUAUAGCACUGAAUUUUCUGCAUUUCCCCUUUUAAAGAAAGAUUCAAAAGUACUAUGAGCUAAUGGACUGAUGGUUUAUUAUUUCUGUCAGAGGAAAGAUUUAUGUGCUGAAAUCUGACAAAACUGUGCUGCAAAAUAUGACCGAAGUGAGCGGACAAACACUUGCAUGACAAAAGAUUAUUCUGAUAGGACUGGGUAUUGAUUCAGAUGUCCCGAUUCGAUUACGAUUCAAAAGAUAUCGAUUGAAUUCUCAUUUUUUUUAAAUACUUUUUUUUAGUAUGAUCAGUGAAUAUACUUUUUAUACAAAUGCUAUCGAAAUGAAAAUCAGUUUAAAAAUGUAACAUUUAUAAAAAGAAAUUA